This 254-nucleotide ribosomal RNA is filed under the name uncultured bacterium. Its description in RNAcentral is "partial 16S ribosomal RNA". It matches the Rfam family "Bacterial small subunit ribosomal RNA", at positions 524 to 776 of the family's 1533-position model. The record is from RNAcentral.
GACGAACCGUGCGAACGUUAUUCGGAAUCACUGGGCUUAAAGCGCGUGUAGGCGGGGUGGCACGUCCGGCGCUGAAAUCCCCCGGCUCAACCGGGGAACGGGCGCGGAUACGACCGCCCUCGAGGGACGUAGGGGGACCUGGAACUUCCGGUGGAGCGGUGAAAUGCGUUGAGAUCGGAAGGAACGCCCGUGGCGAAAGCGAGGUCCUGGACGUCCGCUGACGCUGAGACGCGAAAGCCAGGGGAGCGAACGGG